AGUAGCGCACGGGUGCGUAACACGUAUGCAACCUACCUAUAACUGGGGGAUAGCCUCCCGAAAGGGAGAUUAAUACCGCAUAAUAUUAUUGAGUGGCAUCACUUGAUAAUUAAACCUCAGGGGGUUAUAGAUGGGCAUGCGUCCGAUUAGCUAGUUGGUGAGGUAACGGCUCACCAAGGCUACGAUCGGUAGGGGGUCUGAGAGGAUGAUCCCCCACACUGGUACUGAGACACGGACCAGACUCCUACGGGAGGCAGCAGUAAGGAAUAUUGGACAAUGGGCGCAAGCCUGAUCCAGCCAUGCCGCGUGAAGGAUGAAGGCCCUAUGGGUCGUAAACUUCUUUUAAACGGGACGAAACCCCUCGACGUGUCGAGGGCUGACGGUACCGUAAGAAUAAGGGUCGGCUAACUUCGUGCCAGCAGCCGCGGUAAUACGAAGGACCCGAGCGUUAUCCGGAUUUAUUGGGUUUAAAGGGUGCGUAGGCGGACCUAUAAGUCAGUGGUGAAAGCCCAUCGCUCAACGAUGGAAUUGCCAUUGAUACUGUAGGUCUUGAGUAUAGUUGAGGUGGGCGGAAUGUGUCAUGUAGCGGUGAAAUGCUUAGAUAUGACACAGAACACCUAUUGCGAAGGCAGCUCGCUAAGCUAUAACUGACGCUGAGGCACGAAAGUGUGGGUAGCAAACAGGAUUAGAUACCCUGGUA
RNAcentral lists this ribosomal RNA (700 nucleotides) under uncultured bacterium. RNAcentral describes it as "bacterial SSU rRNA". It matches the Rfam family "Bacterial small subunit ribosomal RNA", at positions 94 to 792 of the family's 1533-position model. The record is from RNAcentral.